UACGUAGGUGGCGAGCGUUGUCCGGAUUUACUGGGCGUAAAGGGAGCGUAGGCGGACUUUUAAGUGAGAUGUGAAAUACUCGAGCUCAACUUGAGUGCUGCAUUUCAAACUGGAAGUCUAGAGUGCAGGAGAGGAGAAUGGAAUUCCUAGUGUAGCGGUGAAAUGCGUAGAGAUUAGGAAGAACACCAGUGGCGAAGGCGAUUCUCUGGACUGUAACUGACGCUGAGGCUCGAGAGCGUGGGGAGCAAACAGG
This 253-nucleotide ribosomal RNA is filed under the name uncultured bacterium. RNAcentral describes it as "partial 16S ribosomal RNA". It matches the Rfam family "Bacterial small subunit ribosomal RNA", at positions 524 to 776 of the family's 1533-position model. The record is from RNAcentral.